RNAcentral lists this long non-coding RNA (19910 nucleotides) under Ananas comosus (pineapple). RNAcentral describes it as "long non-coding RNA (ACOM_LNC021848)". The stretch from base 3391 to 3464 matches the Rfam family "tRNA". Lineage: Eukaryota; Viridiplantae; Streptophyta; Magnoliopsida; Poales; Bromeliaceae. The record is from RNAcentral.
AUUAUCAAAAGUUUACUCAUUAUCUAUUGUUUUCUAAAUAAAAGCAUUUACUAUCUUUUUUAACUAAUCUAUCACUAAUGCGGUAUUGAUGUAAUAUAGUUAUACGAAACCUCGUGCGUAAUCGAUUAAAUUUGAUUGCAAAAUUUAAUUGAAAUAACUUAAAAAGAUUAUAGCAAAAAAUUAUAAUAAAUAAAAAUUCGAGAACUGAAGUGUUCACGNGUGGUAAUCCAGCUCGCUGUUCGUGAGCCAGUUUGUGUUCGGCUCGAAAUGAGCUCGAGAUUGGCUCGCUCGUUUAGUAAACGAGCCAAACACGAGCUGGAUUUUUCAGCUCGUUUAAUAAACGAGCCGAACACGAGCUGGGGUCAGCUCGCUCGUGUUCGGCUCGAUAACAGUUCGAAUACAUAUAUUUUAUAUUUAUAUAAUUUAUUUAAUUUAUAUUUUUAUAUAUAAAUAAAUAAUUAUAUAUAACAUAUAUUUUUAUUAUUUAAAUUUUAGCAAAAUAAAAAUAUAAAUGCGAGCUUAAUUAUAAAAAGACUUAUUUAUAUGUAAAGUUUCAACUAUUAGGUCAAAGUUUAAUAGAUAAGAUUUUAUAAAUUUAUUUUUUAUAUAUAUUUAAUCUAAUCUUUUUUAAUUUAUUGUUCGUUGGCCAACUCGUGAGCCAGCUUGUGUUCGGAAACGAGCCGAACACAAGCUGAAUUUUUCGGCUCGAUACUUUAACUAGCCAGCUCGUGUUCGGCUCGUUUAAACGAGCCGAACACGAGCCGACCCCAGCUCGCUCGUGUUCGGCUCGUUUACACCCCUACGCGGCAUGAAGUUACGAUCCGAAACUCUCAUGUCCAUUAACUACUUAGAAUCCACACCACGCAUAACUUAAUAAUAAUACUCUCUCAUAUUAAUCACUUUAAUUAAGAAUAAUAAUAAUCCAUUACUACAAAGAAGAGGUAAAUAAGAAAGAAGCCAAGGGCAAAAUGGUAAAUUAGACAAAAGGGUCUUGCGAGCGAGAGAGCGGAGGAUUCAUAAUAGGAGGGGGGCGGAGGAGGGCUAUAGUAGUAAAACGGGUAGUAGGGCAAGAACGGGUUCGGCGGAGGCGGCGCCGCCCCCGCGUUGUCCCCGCUCUUCUCCGGCGGCGGCGGCGGCGGCGGCGGCGGAGGGCAACCGGAGGUGGCGGCGCUCGGCGGCGGCGGCGGAGGAGGAGGAGGAGGAGGAGGAGGGAGCUCGCACGGGUUGUCGCAGGAGGAGCACAUUGCGCACGCGAUGCCUCCUCCCGUCGUCGGAGCCGUUGAUUCGGUGAUGGACGGCGCGGAGAGGGCCGUGAUGAGGAGGAGGAGGAGGAGGAGGAGGAGAGGGAGCGAGGGGGGGAACGAGGAAGAGGAGCGUUUCUCCAUGAGAGAGAGAGAGAGAGAGAGAGAGAGAGAGGGGAGAGGGGGGGGCGAUCAUCGAAAGGUACAUGGAGAGGUUGCUUAUUCGUAAUUAUCCAACCCUUGCUCUUUUUUCUUUUUUUUUUUCCUUUUUCUUUUCUUUUUCAUUUUUUUUUAUUCGAGCUUAUGAUACGACACCAACGCGGAGAGAGAGAGAGAGAGAGAGAGAGAGAGAGAGGAGGGAGAAUCGUGACGUGGACGUGGGGAGGAGGAGCCUCGCACGUGUCACCGACGGUGGCGAGGUUCCUCUGGCACGUGUGAACCCCUCGGCAUGUAACGAUACUCUCGUUGCUUACCCGAUUUUUUUUUUUCUUUUUUAAUUAUUGUCACGUAGAGAAUUUCUCAUAACGCUGAGCUCACGCACUUUUAAAAGUACAAAAAUAUUUAUACUUUAAUAGUAAAAUUAUUUUAAAUUCUAUACAACAAUAUUAAUAGUGUGCUCCAUUUAAUUUCUUUUAUUAGUACUUUACGAAUUUUAAAAUGAUACGACAGCUAAAAAAAAUCUCAAGUACAAAUACUCUUAUACUUCUUAAAGCACAAAAAAUUAAUUCUUUUUCAAAAUUCUUAAUUAUUUUUUUAAUAUUAUAAAAUGUUAUUCAAGAUGACUAAAACUUUUUUUUUUAAUAAAAAAACUAAAGGUUAGCUCCUACUAAAACUAUAAUAUUAGCUUUCAAAAAUAGUUUGGAUAAAAUCUGUAUAUGUUUCACCUAAAGAAAAUUGAGUCAUAUUUUACAAAUAUGUGGUGCAUUAGUGGAAUAUAAGCCUAGUGAUGGAGGUUUUUUUUUAUAUAUUAUUAUUAUUAUUAAUUAAAGGUUGGGUAUCUGGAAGCUUGGAGACAAAAAAAAAUGUGGGUGGAGGUGAGAGUGUGAUUAGGGGACACAUCAGUUAAAGGAGGAGAUUUGGCUUUAUGGAUGUUUUCCACUAAUAAGUAGAUAGGAAUCUAUUUCUUAAAGCUUCUUUAUAUAGAGUUUGACUGGGCUACUGUCGGUAGUAAACUGCUCGGUUUACUAUCGAUUUAUUUUUUUUAUAAUAAAGCUUCCAAAUCGACGAUCGGCACCGUUGAACAUGAUCUAGACCAUUUAAAUUAUCUAGAAAUCAAAUUUCAUGAUUUUUUGGCAUCACUAACUGAACGAUCAAAGAGUCACAGAAUCUAUAAUUUUAAUGGCCGAUACGGUGCGUUUGCUCGUUUAACGGUAUAGAAGAGUUCAAAUCAACUAUAUUUUUUUUAAAAUUUUUUUUAAACUAUUUAAAAUAAAAUCUAGACUCUAGAUCUCAAAUAUAAAAAUUGUAUCAUCACCUUUUGAAGGAUAUUCAUUUCCAGCCAUUCAUUUUUCUGUUCACUUGAUGGACAAGAGAACAAUAUCGAAAAUGUGUGAAAUUUGAUUUUCAGAUAGUUUAAAUAGUUUAGAUUAUAUUUAACGGUGCCGAUCAUCAAUUUGAAAGCUCUAUCAUCGAAACAAAUCGGUAGUAAACCGAACCGUUUACUACCGAUAGUAUUUUAGCAAAACUCCUUUAUAUAUAAUAUAUGUAUAAGUAUAUAUUGCACUUUAGAGUGACUAUGACUCCCUUUUUAGUGAGAAAAGUAAGGUUUUGAUGAGAAAGCUUAGGAGCAAAGAAAUGGGUCUAAAAUUCAAAAAAAUUAUAAAGAAAUAUAAAGAGAGAUAUUCAGAAGAAAAAUCAAAGGGAUUCUUUUGUAUUAUUAUAUUCUCUGAAAAUUUAAGUUGUCUUAAGGAAUUCGAAAAAUUAUAUAAUACAAUCGUUAUUCUUUAAGUUGAUAGAGGACAGUGCUUUUAAUAUUUAUAUUUAAAUUCCAGUUAUUUAACCUNUAGAUGGUAUGGAAUUUGUAUAACACAAGUUUUUUCUUCUUUUUUUCUUCUUUUUUUUUUUUUUUUUUUUAACAUGCUUUGAAUUUAGAUGCACUUUGUGUUUCCUAAAUAUUGUAAUAUAAAAAUCUAAAAAAUUUAUAUUGUAAGCUUUCGUAGCUCAGUUGGUUAGAGCACCCGUUUAGUAAGCGGGAGGUCUUGAGUUCGACUCUCAACGAAAGCAUUUUAUAGUUUUUAAAUUUUUACUUAAAUACUCUAAUUUUAAAAAUUUAAACUAUUAUAAUUUUUAAAUUUUUUAUUUAAACAUCUUAUUCUUAGAGCUUGACUCUUAUUUAGCAAAAGCAAUAAGUUAUAAUCUUUACAUGCUUGCUUCAACAAUCUAAUCUUAUGAGUUUAUUCUAUUAAUGAGUAUAAAGCUGAUUUUUAAUGUCUUUUUUUUUUUUUCCAAAUGAUCAUUUUACCUCUUCAGCAAAAUGAUAUUCUUGUUUUAACAUAUAAUAUGUAACAAUAUCUUUAAAUUUAUAAUUAUUUAAACAGUAUAAUCUUCCAAGUUUUUCAUAUAUUAUAAUUGUAGUCAUGAUUGUAAAGAUGAUUUUGGUUUUUAUUUUCAAUAAUAUGACUUUUUGGCAAAAAGUCAUUUUGUUACAUUGUAUUUGAAACAGCACAAAAAUUAAUUUUUUUUAUUGAAAGAGGACACCAAAAAUUAAGAAAAAGAGUGGAAAAAUUAUAAAAUUACUCUUAUAUUUUAACUUCAUGAAAUAUAUUAAGUAAGUCAGUAAAAAUAAACGAACCAUUCAAAUUUUGAAAUCAGAGUACUAUUAACAGAUAGAAAUUAAUAAAUUAAAAAAUUGUAUAGUAAAAUAAAAUUUUUGAAAGAUUGGGCAGCUAAAUCAGAAUGGUCAUAGUUCAGAUAAGUUUUAUAUAUUUGUACCUUUAAAAAUUAAAAGUCGGAGGCCUAUUUUCAAAAUCUGUAUCGUUAAAGGGUCUACAUACAUUUUUACCAGGGGAGAAAAAUAAAGGGUAAACUUCAAAUACCACCUCUGCAGUUUCGCAGUUUCUAACUUUAGUGCCCUGUGAUUUACAGUGUAUCAAGUUAGUUCCCCUAUGGUUUCAUUUAUCUUUUCAUUAGCUUUUUCGUUAAAUUAUAUACAAAAAACUUCAAAUAUCUCCAUAUAGGUUUAACGAAUAUUCACUUUAGUAUUCUUUAGUUUUAACUUUGUAACUGAUUUAACGAAAAAAAAUUUAGUGAAAUCGAUAAUAAAAAGAUAAAAUAAAAUCACAUGGCACUAAAUUGAUACAUUUUAAACCACAUAGUACUAAAGUCAAAAGCUGUGAAACUACAGGGUGGCAUUUGAAGUUUUCCUAAAAAAAAAAAAAAAUCAGUGGCAGGGAAUGAAAUUAGUUUCUAAAUUAUGAGACAAUUUAGGUACUAACGUGCAAUAUUAAAAUCGUACAGGGACCAUCCGUACAUUUUGCCCCAUCUCCCCCCUUCCGGAACAACCGUUUGUCUUUAUCGCCUACGGUCUCGGAUUAGGGUUCCGUCGAAGAGGGGAAUCGAUCGAAGAAGCUUCUUCAUCGUGCGCGAGAGAGAGAGAGAGAGAGAGAACGGAUUUGGAUCGAAUCGCAUCGCAUCGCAUUGCAUCGAAUCGAAUCAAUCCAUGGAUGCCGAUUCCUGGAGCCGCCUCUCCUCCUCCGCCGCGUCGAGGCGCCUCCAAUCGCGAUACGGUGAGCCGUAGAGCCUAUUCCCUCAAUUCUUCUUCGCCUAUGGCGAUUUUGAUUGGUUUUUAAGGGUUUUAUAGAUUUGUACCUCGCCUUCGAAGAGAUCGGAGGCGGUGGCGGCGACGACGAGGCGUCGGGAGAAUUCAACUGCCCCUUCUGCGGCGAGGAUUUUGAUUUUGUGGGGCUUUGUUGCCACAUCGAUGACGAGCACCCCGUCGAGGCUAAAAAUGGGGUAAUUUGAUUUCCUUUCGAUGAUUUAGUUGUGCUUCGAUCGCCAAAUUUUGCAUUUUUAUGGGUUUUAUUAUGAUUUAAGGUGAUUUGGGUUCUAAAGUCUCUAUUUUGUACUUAUAAAUCCAUGAAUUAGUCAUCUAUAGGUUCUUCACGCCCCAAGAGGAAAAAAAAAAAAAAAAGAACUUCGAUUCAUUGUUACUUGCAAAUAGAUAAAAGUUUUUUCCUUUUAUCUCAGUGCUUUGAUUUUCUACUGCAUAGUUGCCAUUAAUAAUACACGCGUAUUAGGAAAAGCCACAUUCGAAUUUCAGGGAUAUAUAGUUUUAUAAUGUCUUUUUUGACUCUAUCAUUCUUUUUGGUUAUAACAAGGCACUUGGUAAAUUGAUGUAUUACAGGGUGCAUAGAAUUUCUACUCAACUUGUAGUAGGUUUCUACUAAUACCAUUGUGGCUGUAGUGCCGCUGUGUAAUUUGCUUUCCUACUAAUAUCGUUGUUCAUCUUGUCUAUUUUCUAUUGCCUAUGGCUUAUUUAACCUCACUUUAUUUUUUCAUAUAUUUAUAUUUAUAUACAACAUGAUAUGCUGAUAUUUAGAAUUGAGAUGUUGAAAACGCAGCACAAUUAACUCUUAAGUUGAGACUGGGAUUAUUUGUCACAAGUCGCAACUAUUUUGUGGGAACAAACUACUAGUCGAGUAGUGUUUAAUGUGACUGCUGGUUUUUCUUAUGACGAGAAUGAAUUUCAGUUUCUUAGGCUGAGACUUUUGGCAUCCAUAUGAUUUGUAUCGGUGCUAAGAGCUGCUACUUGCCUCGUAGGUAUGUCCCAUUUGUGCUUCGCGGGUUGGGACGGACUUGGCCGGGCACUUGGUUGUGCAGCAUGGGAGUUACUUCAAGAUAUCCUUUUUUCUCUUCCUUUCUGCCGAGCGGCAAUCAUGCAAAAUAAGUCUUAGUAUUACAUGCCUGUUUGACCCACUUUCUGAAAUAUCUUUACUCCGACAAGCAGAAGCCCGUUGCUUGGCAAAUAGAAAGUUUGGAGCUUUUGAUGUAGUCAGGAAUCUGAUUGAUCUUCUUGAUCCUAAAAUGUUCCCCAGUUUAUUUAAACAGUGUAGUUCUGAAUUUCUUACGUGUGAUGCUUGCGAGUUUGCAAAGCAUACACGAGUUAAUUUUCCAAUCAGUGAUAAUAAAAGUGCUUAGCGAGCUACUGAAUAGCAAGCCCUCAAUUGAGCAGGCGCUGCGCUGCACUAAACAUAUACUUUUGCUUUUGCUGCUGUGCAGCUAUUGGGAUGAUGCUAAUGAGAAAGUUGUUGCCGCUUUUUCCAAUGGCCGUAUUCAAAUAGCACUUAUGCAGAAAUUCCAACCAAGCCAAACAGGCCCUAACUUUCUAAUUCGAUAAGAUUAUCUAGUUUUCAUUUGAGCAAAAUGUACACAGACAACAAUCAACCUGAUAUUUUCCUUAACGGAAAAUCACGUGCAUCGCCGACGGAGAUUUCGGAAAGCUCCUUCAGGGACCCAUUCAAUUUUCUCUUUAUUAAGAAAGGACCUAAGAGAUGGCAAUCUGCAAUCUCUUUUUGGAGGAUCAUCCUAUAUGGCCGCUCCUCCUACGGCAGCACCAGAUCCAUUCCUAUCAUCGCUUAUUUACACUUUGCCCAUGACUGAAUCAAAAGAUUCACAGUCGGAGAAUUUGGAUUGUGAAAUUCCAGUUAAUAGGAGCUUGGAUGGUAAAACAGUAGAAAGGUAUGUUGGUCUAUAGUUUCUUUUAAUCUUUUUUCUUUAUCAUUAUGCAUAGAUCAAUGUAUUACCAUUCCACAAUUGUCAUUCAUCCUGCAAGGUGAUUUAUCAUAUGCUUAACACUUGGGAUUACUUUCUCUUUGUUACUGAUAUGCAGACUUAUUUUCAUUUACUCAAAUCUUAAUUAUUAAUGGACCAAUGGUACUUAGGUAUACACGUAAGAUAAGUAGUAAUCCUAGCAUCCAACAAUGUCUUAAGAAGGAUUUUGGUUGGAGGAUUCCUCUUUCAAGGAGGCGGUUUUGUAUCCUUCAUGAAAACACCGGUUUAAUGUGUUAUCUCUGUUGUCCUUGAUUCAGGGAUAGUGGCAAUUGGCUGGGACAAUGAGCUAACUGUUGAUAGCAUAUUCUCUCCUACUUUUGAGUAUGACUAACCCCAAGGAUAGAGUUGCUGAGUGUUAACAAGGAAUGUUAGAAAUCCAAAUGUGGGAUAGUGAGUGACCAUAAAGCAAUUCUGAAAUGCAAGGUAAAAAAUAAAUCUUUGAAGCUGCUACUAAACAGAAAGACUUUGCUUGUCAUUUAAAGCAGUUUACGGAAGCUUUUUUAAAAGGGAAGAGACUGAGCAAAAUAGAACAUUGCCCCCUUUGUUUUAAAACUUCUAAACCUAUGAACACCAACCCUUGUAAGCGGUGAUGUUUAUUGAUUAGCAUCAUAAUUAGCAGUAUGGAUUUUGUCUGUCAAAUAAAACUGAUCUAAAUGGUUGCCGACAAUUUGGACCUUUUGGUUUUAGAAGUGUGUGACGUUUAUAGCUGCAGAAGUGCUUGAUCUGCAGUGGUAGAUUCUGAUCUGCUAUGAUCGCAGCCAUUGCUUGCUCAUUUGGUUUAUUGUAUUUGACCUAUUACCUUUUUAAUUUAUAUGCAGAGUUGAACCUUCUCUAUCCGACAAAGAUCAGAAAGAGAGGGCUCAAAGGAGUGAAUUUGUGAAGGAACUUGUUCUAUCCACAAUAUUCAAUGAUCCAUUAUGAGGGAAUAUCCAUUUCCUUUCGUGGUGGUGUUCUGUUUCUUCCUCGAGAAAACCAUACGAUCGUCCUCCGCCUAUCAUUGUUGUUGUUGUUAUUACUUGUUGCUCAUGUUUUGAGCCUCUUUUACUGGAGAGAGGAUGCACACUCAAACUAAAGAAUGUAUGCAUAUUUUCUUCAACUGUUGUGUCGUGGGGAAAUGAAGGCGCACGAAAAUGUAUUAUGGAUUUACUUUUAGUUUCGAGCUCUUUUAGGGGCUACAAUUUCGGCGCAAUUAGUUUAUUUUGGAAGGGAAUACUCCUCCAUACGAUAAUUUUGUUCAAUCAUAAUUUACAAUAAGUGUUUGCUUCAGCUUCUUUUCUUUGAGAUUGAUGCUUAGAUGAAGCCUCCUUUGUGCACCAGCACAAUAAUAUUUUCUCGUUUUUUUUUUUUUAUUUUGAGGAAUGAGUGUUGAGGUCACAAAUUUUUGUUUGUUGAAAUGCAUUUUUUUUGUUUUCUGAUACUGGAAUACCACUAUACACAAAAUCAGUUCGUACGCAUCCGCAUUUCCGAGUAAUGGUGUGGAAAAGUCACAUCGUGUGUUGCACGAGCAAUUUCCUUCCGUGGACGUGUUUUUUAGUAAUAAGUCUUGAAUUCAAAUCAUACUUUGUUGUUCGAGCGAUUUCUAAACACUUCAUUAUCUAUGAGUAGAUCAGAAUGAAGGAGAAAUAUUCUUGUCACCAACAAAGUAUUUGUUUUUUUUUCUUUUUUAAUUUUCUCAAUUUAAUGGGACUGAUAGAGGCUACAUUCUAUUUGUGGCUAGUGUUAGUCCCUAAUUUGUGACAAACACAGCUUUUGUAUGGAGUCAAAAAGCAUUGAGAAUAGGCUUUUCUAUGGAGUUAAAAGUUAAAAAACAUUAAGAAUAGGCUCUUCCUUUUACUCCUCACUAUACUUUUUCAUUAGUAGGAAAAGCCUAUUAUUCUUAAUGAGAGAUUGUAGGUUUCAAAAACACAAACAUCAAUUUAAUGUCGGUGAUUCUGCUUCUAAUGAUAUUCUAUUAUAGCAGAAUCAGAGACAUCAAAUUGGUGCUUUUGCUUUUGAAACCUACAAUCUCAUUUUAGCUUUUCAAUGAAAGUUGCAGACUUUUCUACCCAUUAAAUAUCAGAUUGAAAAUGAUUAUAGGUGAAAGUAGCAAGUAUGAUUAGCACAAAACAAGCAUUUAGUCACCUCAGAUCCAUUUCAUUUUCGAUUAGCACCUCUUUGCUUCUGAAUCUGCCCUCAAAUGUUCAAAGUUCCCUUUAACCCUUUCCAAGAAACUUUACUUGGGACCUGCAUUUGUCUCUUACUUUCUAACCAUACCAUUCUCUCUCUAAAUAGAGCUCCAGAACAUUUACUUUACAUGAUAGUGAGUUACAUCAACAAGUACAAAAGCAACUUCACAGUAUCAUCUCAUGCAAAAGUAAUCCACUAAUAAAUAAAUAAACAACAAAAGGAGCAAAGGAGAAUCCCUCCUGUGCCAAGCAAACAAAACCACUAUCUCCAAGCAAUUCCCAGCUCACUGGAUUCCUCCCUUGCUAUCCUCUCCCAAGCCAUCUCUCUAUGAUUAAAUCGACGCAAAAACCUCGUACUGGUUCCGGAUUUAUAUCCCUCCGUUUGGCCGCGUUUCAUACCGACGACGACGGUGACGAAAGAGCGAGAGAAGGAAAACGACCACGAUGGCGAUCACGCACGACGAUCUCUCCCUUCGGAGAGCGCGAGCGGGCUUCUCCGACGUAAGCGGCCGGCUGGCUGUCUUUCUUGUGGCCCUGUCCAUUGUUUGUGGUCUUGUCAGCUUCAUCUUGUGCCUGGCUGCAGAGGCCUCCAGAUCUGAGGUAGUUAAAACAGUUUGGUAAACUUACACUUGAGCCCCUCAGCUAUAUGCGAUUUUACGAUAGACCCCGCUAAGUUGGUUUAUUUUAUUUUAUUUAUUUGUAGUUGCUGUGUCAGUUAAAUUAGUUACUCCAACAAAGUCAUUAAUUUCAACAGAAUUUUUUAAAUCAGUUAAUGGAUUACACUCUAAUAUUGUUAACAUUUUACCACAAUUGGUGUGACACUUCCAAAUAGGCUACUUGGUAUCUCCUGAGCAUGAGGGGGGAUGGAACUAAGAUAUCAGAAUGCUUCUACAACAGCAGCGGCAGGACGGUCCUCGCCUGCGCGGUGUGCGCGUUCCUCCUGCUCGCGGUGGCCAUGUUCGCCGAGCACGCGUACAUGCUCGUCGCAGUCGCCAGCCCGGCCCAGCACGGGUUCUCCUCCUGGACGGCCGCCGAUGAUCCUCGAAUACCGGCCUCCAUGCGGGCUCUAACAUGGCAGGCCUGCUUUCUCUUCCUCAUAACUUGGUAAGAGUGAAACAUAUAUUUUUCCGCCUGUUUGGAUGUCCAAAUAAGUUAUAAGGGAUAUAACUCUUUUUGGCAACAUAGCGAGAGGUUAGUUGUUUCGAUAUUGAAAAGAUGGUUGAGAACGAAUAAAAAUGAAUUAGUAAUUUUACUUCAUAUGAAUGACUUGAUAAAUCAUAUUGGAGACCGGCUAUAUAAUGUGAAGUAUCAUGAUCAAAAGGACCUCACAAUGAACUAAAGUAGAAUUCUGAUAUCAUAGCUCUCUCUCUCUCACUCACAAAUUUGGUGAAGACAAUCCCUAAUAUGAGGCCAUUCAAUCCAUCAUUCAUCACAUAAAUGACAUGAAUCUUAAAGUUGUGUGAAUGAUAAAUAAGGCGGUCUCACAUUGGAGAUUGUCGUCGCUAUUGUAUAUAUAUAUAUAUAUAUAUAUAUAUAUAUAUAUAUAUAUAAAGAGAGAGAGAGAGAGAGAGAACAGGACUGUUGUGUUCUUAGGAGCACUGAGGCCUUCAUGCUCCUAAAUCGUUUUCGAUGAUGAAACUUCCAAAUCAACGAUUAGCUCUAUUAGACUUGAUUUAAUAUAUUUAAAGUUUCUAAAAAAUUAUUUUUUGUAAUUUUUUAAUAUUAUUUAUCUAGUGAACGAAAGAGUUCAAAAUCAAUAAUUUUUAAUAGUUGAUGUCUGCCGUUUUCAAGUUUAACAGUGUAGAAAUAUUUAAAUUAUAUGAAAAUUUGAUAUAAAAUUCUUUACAGGCUCUGUUUUGCCAUCGCCGAGAUCCUCCUAAUGAUCGGCAUCAGCGUCGAGUCUGGCCACCUUAGUGACUGGAAAAAGCCGAGGUCUACUUGCCAUACCAUCCGGCCAGGGGUGUUCGCGGCAGCCGGGAUUCUAGGACUGAUCACCGUAUUUUUAGGAUUCAUUUUGUACCUGACGGCUUUACGGGCGCAGAGAUUACAGCGAGAAGCAGAGGGACCACAUCACCAAGCCCCACCAUUCCCUCCGAGCGCGCCGCCUGAGGGCGAGGCCGCCCCUCGGCAGGACCCAUCACCUAGCAAGACUUCAACUUCCGCGUGAGCGGAAAUGGGCUUCUGUGCGGCCGAGACAAACACUGGGGGGUUCUCUGUAAAUUUCUUGGCAAGUUAGUUUCAUUGAAUUGAAUUUCUUUUCCACCUAAUUCAAGGUUGUAAAACAAAGAAACAGUUUUUUCCUUCAUAAUAAUGAAUACAUACUUCAUCACCAGUUCUUCAUACACAUCACAAAUGGAGAGUUCCCCGAAAAGUUUUGGGGAAUGUGAUCUCAUUCAAUUGAAUUCCACUUACACCUAAAAGGGAAAAACCGAAAAGAUAGAGAAACUAAUGUUCAAGGAUGCAUAGGCAAACAAAACGAUCUUUUCUCGAUAAUAAUUGAAUAUUACAUUGAUUCUUCAUACAAAUGUCAUAGCGGUCCGGUUAGUUGUCAAGCUACAACAAACAUGAAGAGGGCCUUUUUCUCGGAGUUAGUCUCACCAAACAAUAUAUUAGAAAUGACAACCUUCGAAGAACAGAAACCGGCUUAUUCGCCCUUCUCUCUCUUUACACAUAACAACAACACACUAGAACAACAAGAUAGUUACACUCCCAUGAAUAAGAACUAAAAGAUAUUUCCAGUAGUGCUUUUUCUUCACCUCGACAACACCGUUGCACGGCUAGGGCGUUUUCCCUCCAUGGCGUCUUUCUUUCUCCUGCAGUCGGAGCAAAGGUAAGGGCCUUCCCACGGCUUCGAUGUGGGUGAAAAGAAUGUUCCCGAAUUGGCGGGUAGAUCUUCAGUUGGGGUUUGAUCCAUUUGGCAUAUGGCGCACCGAAAGGGCGCUGAAUUUGCUUUUGAUGGGAAGUUUUUACCCAACCUACACAACAAGAAUAGGUUUAUAGUAGCAGACUCUGUAUUAGUUUACUAAGCAUUGAUUAAAUCGUUCAGGGGCAAUUAAAUCGGGUAAAUAAUAACGAAAUCAAAUAAGGGAGAUUUUAAUCAGCCAAACAUAAAUUGAUUACUAUCAUUUACCUAUAUAGUACUAAAAAAAAACUACAUUGUUUUUAUCCUAGAAAAUGACAUUAAUGAUGAAUGUCUUCUUUAUUUUCAUUCCUGAUGAUGUAAUACAACAUAUGACUUUUUGCCACUUCAAACUAAGGAUUACUUGCAUUCUGAAACAACAUCUUAUUUUCAGAGACAUUUGGCUGAUACAUUAAUUCUAUUUCUAGCCGGUGCUUUUCAAAGCAGCCAGUGCACCCACACACAUCGUCUCAAGACUGGUCGAUGAAAGGAUAUAUAAGCAACUCUCAUAAAGUAAAACAUCAUAAGAUUUCAUAUAUAUAAAAGGUUGUGCAUAGCAAAGACCAACAAAUAAGAUAAAAAGUAAUUUGUUAAAAUAUUGAUGAUUUUCAUUUUGACGACAAUUCUUAGUGAAUUUCUUGCAAGGAUUAAGUAAAAAUUUCAGCAUAAUCUCUUCUCACUUAUAACACUAUCAUAUAACAAAGCAGGUUUUCAGAAACUAGACGUUGCCAAGCUUCUGAAAAUUUCAUGAAGCUUUGAGUAGUGAAAGUUGUACUUCUACAUAAAAAUAGCCCUCCAAUCAGCUAGACAAAUAACUAUGAGAAGGUUGUUAUUUCCAUUCAAGCCCCCAAAGGAAUAUAAGAAACUUUGCACUGCUAAUUUAGGGCGUAUUUCUUUCCCUCUAAGAAGACCUGGUAGAAUCCAGAAUUCUGCCAGGCAAUUUUUAUUGCUGGCUUUAUUUACUGUGGAAAAGUGGGGCAAGAUGGGUAGGCUGCAAAUUUUAAAGAUCUCUUCCCAAAUGGAUCAAAUUGUAGGAAGGGUCUAAAUUCAAUCUAAUAAAAAAUAGGAAGAUUUGAUUUAAGGCUUUUGGAGCACGGAGCAGAUUUUAUAUCCACCGCAAUUUCUUCCCCGAAAAAAAGAAAAGAUUAUGUCUUCUGCAGUGAGUUCCUGCAUAUUGCAGAAUCCUAUGUAGAGAAAACAUACUGAGCAUGAAAAGAACAAGACUAUGAGACAAUAGAGAAAGAAGCCAGAGAUACAAAGUAGAGAAAAGAGAGCUCACGGCUAAGAUAGUAAUCGAAUUAAAAUGAUAUAUUCCUCCAAUAUAAGCGAUACCAAAGAGGGGACCAAGGAUUUGUGUUAGUAGUUAAAUCAACAUCACAAGCUAUAUGCUUAUCCUCUUCCUAUCUGUUAUCCUUCUUAUUAUAAUAUCUUUUCCAUCCACUUGUUGCUGCCUUUUCUUUUAUUUGUAUUUCACGCCAAAAUAAUGAACCUGUUAUAGCAAUUUUUAACUCCAUUUGCUCUAAAAUGUAGCCUUGCAGACAAAGUGACUCAAAAGACUUGUAAACAGAUCCGGACAAUUUCAUCGCAGUCUGAGUAAUUUUAACUUAAAAAUCAGAAGCAAGGUAAUGUUUUGGACCUUGCUUCAAAGUUGAAAACCAGUUAAUGUUUCAGUUCCAUCUACUACGGACUAUCCUUAUAACUUAAUGCACACUCAUGAAUCAUCUCCUUCUAAAGAAGAAACAUUGAGGCAAUCAUAAAAAGGUACAUAAAUUAGGAGUGUUUUAAAUAUAAACCAAUUCCUAAGAAUGUAACUGUAGUAAAUAAGCGUUAUAAGCAACAGAUAAUAGCAUAAGUAAACCAGAAUAUCGUACACUAGAAACUGUACCAUUGGAGCAAGUCGAAACAAACCUUUCUUCAAGCAUUGCAGAGCCCUCUUCGAAAAGUUCCUCCACAGCUCCAACAGAGGCAGGCCUGUUCAUCAGUUUACCAACAGUGUUCUGUGACCUCCUCCCGAAAAGAAGUGAUCUCAACUUAUUCUGAUUCUUCUUCGGAGAAGAAGGUAGGACGGACUGAUCAGAUGGAAUGAUAUCAACAACAAGGCAAGUUGUGUCAUCUUUCAAACCACUUGUUCUCAAUGCUUCCUAAACAAAAUUUAAGCAAACAACCUUGAGAUAAGAAUUCUACAGGAAAAAAAAAAGCUGAAACAUAUUGUUAUUAUCAAAAAAAUAAAAAAGAAACAAAGAACUAACGGCCAUUUAUGCAUCACCUUAACAACAAGCUUUGCAGCAAUUUCUGCAGGCAACCCUCGGCAAGCCUUGGCAGCCGUUUCAGAUGACAAAGCAUCCCAUAUGCCAUCGGAAGCAAUAAUAAGCCUUCCUCCAGCACUAGAAAGCUAAUCAUCACAUAAAAAACAUGUUAAUAACAAGAAACACAUCAGCACCAAAGACUACUAUUAUUGAGGUGAAGUUUAAUCAUUAAUAGGUUGCUCUACUUUUUGGGAGCUACCCAUCUGGUCGCUACACACUUUUAAGCCAUCAAACUCUUAACAAUAUACCAUAACCGUCCCUUAUAGCUAAAUAAAUAAAGUCAGGCAACUAUGUUUUUAAAAUCAAUAUAGUAAAUCAGUCACAUGUGUAUUGACUAUUGUUCAUCUUAUAAGCCUUAUUACAUUUCGAAUAUAGAUCAGCUAGACAAAAGAAGAUGAUAUUAGUUACUUGCAAAAGUUUGGUGACUUAAUUGGGAUUAAAAAGAGUUUAGAACCCAACUUAUUAUUCCCAAUGUUACGAAAUGGUCGUGGGAACCAUCUCACCACCAUUCCAUAGCAUCAGAGGAAUGAAGCUCCAAAGUGCUUUCGGACAUUUUGAAAGCUCUAAAAGUAUCAAAGCAGCUGCUUUUGGAAAUGCGUUCCCCAAACUAGGCCUCAAACCACAAUUCUGCACUCACCUUCACUUGCUUAACAUGCGGUAUGGGAACGAUGAAUUCCCCCACAUCCGUAUCUCCGAUCGAUCUAGAAAGGCAUAAUCCACCCGGCCAGCAUCUAAGUGGACCAACCUAACACCACAAGAAUGCGAAAUUAAGAAUCGCCAUUAGAUCAAAGAUAAAGAAUGAUCAAAAGAAAAGGAAAAAAAGAAGAAGAAAGAAGCAAUUUUAGUUUCUCUCCCCAUUACCUCCUGCCCCCCACAAAGAUUGAGCCUUCCAACCUCUCCUCCGCUGGCGGUCACCCUCUCCCUCUCUUCCACAUUCUCCUCCAACCGAUGAUCAACAGUGAGCAAAGACACCAGACCUCCCUGUGUAUCCAAUAUGCACCGAGAGUCGCCAACCGAAGCUACCGUCACCGUCAACCCAUCAAUUACGACUAGCGUCGCAGUCGUCCCCGACACUUCCCCUGAUAAAUCAAUCCAAGAUGGGAUUUUUUUUUUUGUUUUCGUUUCCCCACAUCAAUCAGGUAGAAAGAAGAGAUGGGCAACGCUAGAAAUCCGGAAAAAAAAGGCUUACCUUUUCGCUGGAAAUCGAUGUCGGUCUUGACGAAACCAGCGACGAGAGCACGCGGCAGGGCUUGGAGCCACUCCUCUCUACUAAUCCCUUGAGGGAUCGCGCUUAGAACGUGGUCCAAGAGGUGCUCCUUCGUGAACACGGCGGCGGAGACCCCGUUGUGCCCAUCGAAGAUCUGAUAGAAUCAGCACCAAAAGAAGCAAAUUGGACAGUAAAUAGAGAUCAAAAGCAACAAAUGGGGACGGAAUCGAAAGCGGCGGGGAAUGCGAUACCGCGAAGACGGAGAAGGAGGAGGAGGGGUUCCCGGGGACGCGGAGGCAAUCGGGCUUGACGAGGAAGUAGUCCUCGCCGCGCUUGGCGAACGCGGCGUGCCCGUAACGGACGGCGGGCCUCUCCGACCGGUCGCCGCCGCGGAGCUCGCGGCCGAUGAGGGUGGCGAGGGGGAGCAGCGGCGGCGGCGCCGCCGCCGCAGCGCUCGGAUCCCGAGGGAAGGACUCUCCGGCGGCGGCUGCGGCGGAGGCGGCGGCGGCGGCCAUGGCAGGGGAGUGGGGGGGGGCGGCGACGUGGAAGGUAGUGAGGGAGUGGAAAACCCUAAUCCAUUCCCCCUUCUACAGAUCACGGCAUCGCGAUCCGAUCGCUCCGAGCCCUAAUCGGAGAACGGGGGAUUCGAAAUCGAGGGAGGAAUUGGGGGAGGGGGAAAAAGGGAUCGAAGAGAUCGAGGAGGAAGGCGCCCACGGAUUCGGAGAAGCGUAGAGGGAGAGAGAGGAGAGAGAAUGGGAUCGCUCGGAGUUCGUGCUCUCCACUAACGUAUUGGGUGCAUUAUUGGGUACGCGUCGUGGUAGGGAAAAAGAUGGAGAGAGAGAGAGAGAGAGAGAGAGAGAGAGCGAAUUUACGGAAUUACCCUUGUGGCUCUCCUCGUAGUGGGGAUGAUGCUGGAAACAUGGGGGCGCGUUCAGGAGCUACUGUUGCGUAGAACGAGUUCACUGGACCGGACCAAUCAGAAUGCGACGGUAGGAAUGUAUUAAAAAAAGCGAUUUGCACACAUUAAAUAUUAAUUUAUUAUAAUUUUUUAAUUCAAAAUUUUAAAAUCAUUUUAAUUACGUCAUACAAUUUAAUUUAGUUGACUAAAUAUUUUUAUAUGUAAAAGCGAUACGAUAUCUUAAUUAUUGGCGUAUUAUCAAUGAGAAUCAAUAACAAUUAAAUUGAAUUUUAGGACUUGAUCAUAAUUCUAAAAAUUUGAAUAAAAAAUUACUGCAAAUUAAAAUUUAAAGAUCAAAUAUCAUCCACUUCAUAGUUUGAGGACCAAAGGUCUCCUAUGAGAUUUAGUAUUUUAUUUUUUUGCAGCCUAGUUGUUUCAAAUAUUGUACAAUUUGGCUAUUUUAUAAUUUCAUUUUGUUAAAUAAAAUAAUAAAAUGAUAUACUUUAUGAAAUAAUAAAAGUAAUUUAUAAUAUGGAUUUUAUCAUAAUUGUGGUAUGUGAAAUGUAUCAGCUUAGUUUGCUAUCUAAAAACAACUUUUAAUAUAAAAAAGUUAAAAAACAAACAAACAAACAAACACAUAAUAUCAAAUUUGUAUAUUUUUCAAAUAUAAAAUGACAAAAUAAAAAUGCGCUAAGCAAAAUUUAUUUGUAAUAGGUGCAUAUUAAAUUUACUAAAUUUAGUCAAAUUUAAUAAUUAAAUAGUGGAACAACACAGUAAUUAGGAAGUAACUCAAUACUGUUCUUUUAUUGUUAUUUUUCAGUGGACAUUAUUUUUCAACGAGUAGAUUCUUAUAAUUUUGGCUUGUAGCUUAUUUUUGAAAAAGAAAACAAUUUAAAAAGUAAUAAAACUGCAUGAAUAAUUAAGCUCGCCUUAAUAAUAAUAAACAAAUAGCUCAUGAACUCAUCUGUAGGGGUGGAAACGAGCCGAGCUCGAGCGAGCUUAUGUCGGCUCAAAUUCGGCUUGAAAUUAAUUUCGAGCCUUAAUCUAGGCUCAAGCUCGGCUUGAAAUUAAUUCGAGCCGAGCUCGAGCGAGCCUAAUUUCGAGUCGAGCCGAGCUCGAGCUCUAAACGAGCCGAUUGAAAUUCUCGACAUUAUAUAAUCAAUAGUUUAAUUUUUAUAGAACAUUACCUACAAUUUGAUGCAAUAUGUCCAAUGGUUCAAAAUACAAAAUAAUUGCAAGAAAUAUGAGCUAGGGUGACUCCCUGACCGGGUGAGGGUCAAAGAGAGAGAGAGAAAGAGAGAGGAGAAAAAAAUUAGGAAUUUGAAAAUUUGAAUGUUAUCAUGUUUUAAGGUUAUUUGCAAAAGUGAAAGUCUGAAAGAGAGAGUGUGUUAUGUAAAUUUAGAGUUGGGUUCAAUUGCACGGUUGUACUUGUUGGGUUUAUUUUAUGGGCCAACAAUAAUGGCCCAAAUUAAAUUAAAGCCUAUAUAUAAUUAAAAUACAUUAUAUAUAUAUAUAUAUAUAUAUAUAUAUAUAUAUGUAUAUAUAUAAUAAUAUUAGUAGGCGGAUACUGUUGCCUAUUAGGGACUACAGCAGCCCUUUGCCUCCUAAGUUCUUAACGCGCAUCAAAUUUGAUGGGUGUUAGGUGAAAGAGAGUUAAGAGAAAUUAGAAGAGAAAUUGAAUUUUCUCAAAUCAAAGAGAAGAAAAUUGAGAAUCCAAUUUCCUUCAAUAUUCUCUUCUCUCUUUCACCAUAACCAUCCAAUCAAUUUGAUGGACGGUUAAAGACUUAGGGAGCACAAGCGUCUGCGUGUGCCCUAAUAGCACAAUAGCCUCUACUAUUAUAUAUAUAUAUAUAUAUAUUCGAGCUUUUCGAGCUUUUCGAGCCUAAUUCGAACGAGCCGAGUAAUACUCAAGCUCGGCUUGAAAUGAAUUUCGAGCCUUUUAUUUUGUUCAAGCUCGGCUCAUUUAAUUUCGAGUCGAGCUUGAGCGAGCUGAAUAUCAAGUUGAACACGAGUCGAACGCGAGCCAGCUCGCUCGUUUGCCAGCCCUACUCAUCUGGGCAUUUAUAGGGUACGAGGAGUAAGAUCCAAACUUUAUUAUGAUACAUUCAUUUUAUUAACCACGAUUAAAUCACGUAAAUUACGAUUAGUUGUUAAUAAAAAUAGAUUGAUUGUUAAUAUGUUUAAUCACAUAAAAAUUAAGGAUUCUUUGAUAUAAUUUUCUUUAGUUUUAAGUGAUCACGACGAAUAUCUCAUAACAAAUAUUAGUUUUUUUAUUUGAGAUUGACUAUUUUGUGGGUAUAUAAACCCUGUAACAUAAAUGAUAGAACAAUCAAAAUUUGCUAAUACUUUAAUUUUUAAUAUUAUCAUGCUUUAAAAAUCUAACUAUCCAGGUCUAUGGGUGAUGUGGUAAAGCUAAACCACCCAAUUAUUUCUUUGAUAUAUAUAUAUAUACACACUUUUUGAUCAGAGGUUGAAUCGAUCAUCAGAAAAAGAAUUAGACAAAAAAUUAGGAUGCACUCUAAAUUUUUUUCUUUAAUUUAAUGCCCAUUGGUAUUCCAAAAGUACCUUUUCGGAGUCCUGGAGAGGAAGAUGCGGUUUGGGUUGACGUAUAGUGCGACUUGUCAGACAUAUUGGAUCAUAUAUAUAUAUAUAUAUAUAUAUAUAUAUAUAUUCCCAAUUUGCUAAACUAAUUUAGUGGUUAAUAAGUGUGUCUAUUCACUCACGAGAUCACAUGAAUAUUUUUUUUUAUUUUUUUGGUUUACUGCUCAAGUUAAUUCCAUCAAUAAAUAUAAUCUAGAGGAAUAUAGAUGGUUUAGAUUUAAUAUAAUUCUAGAGGUGACCUGCUAUUGAAGCAUAGGUACCAUUCACCAUGUACCCAUUUAAAGGGUAUUUUAGUCUUUGUAAAAUAGUUUGGUCCACAAAACCGAUUUUAUCCAACUAAGAAUAUUAUGACCCUCUUAAAUACCUACAACAAUAAUUGAAUUUUAAAUUACAACCAAACUGUAAAUUUAAAUUCAAAACAACAUUUAAAACUUUAUAAAUCAAAUUUAAUUUUUUUGUAGAUUCAAAUUUAAAAAUUUAAUAUAAAUUUCAAAAUUAAAAUUUUACAUUACAAUACUAAUUUCAAAAAUUAAAUUUAAAUUCAAUAUUUUUUUGAGAUGGAUACUUAAUAAAUUGGGUAUCAUCUAAUUUGGUAAGUUAUCAAAGUAAAUAAGAUAUUUAAUAUUUAAAGGAUACUGACAAAUUUGGUAUAUACUAAUUUUUUUUCAAUAUUGUCAUGUUAAUUAAUUCAAAUCGGUAAUCUGUUCAACAGGUUACUUCGUGUAAAUCCCAACUAUAUCCUUUACUAAUUAAGGAAUUAAAUUUUAAUACUUGUAGUGUAUUGAAGCAUUCCUCUAUAAUCUAUACCAAAGAAAUAAUAACAU